Molecule: ribosomal RNA, 811 nt
Filed under: uncultured bacterium
Lineage: Bacteria
Description: bacterial SSU rRNA
Rfam family: Bacterial small subunit ribosomal RNA
Source: RNAcentral
UUAGAGUUUGAUCCUGGCUCAGGAUGAACGCUAGCUAUAGGCUUAACACAUGCAAGUCGAGGGGAAACGGCAUUAUGUGCUUGCACAUUUUGGACGUCGACCGGCGCACGGGUGAGUAUCGCGUAUCCAACCUGCCCUUUACUUGGGGAUACCCCGUUGAAAGACGGCCUAAUACCCGAUGUAAUUCAUUGAUGGCAUCAGAUAUGAAUAAAAGAUUUAUCGGUAAAGGAUGGGGAUGCGUCUGAUUAGCUUGUUGGUGAGGUAACGGCUCACCAAGGCAACGAUCAGUAGGGGUUCUGAGAGGAAGGUCCCCCACAUUGGAACUGAGACACGGUCCAAACUCCUACGGGAGGCAGCAGUGAGGAAUAUUGGUCAAUGGGCGCAAGCCUGAACCAGCCAAGUAGCGUGCAGGAAGACGGCCCUAUGGGUUGUAAACUGCUUUUAUACGAGAAUAAUUUGAUGCACGUGUGCGUUAUUGCAUGUAUCGUAUGAAUAAGGACCGGCUAAUUCCGUGCCAGCAGCCGCGGUAAUACGGAAGGUCCAGGCGUUAUCCGGAUUUAUUGGGUUUAAAGGGAGUGUAGGCGGUUUGUUAAGCGUGUUGUGAAAUUUAGAUGCUCAACAUUUAACUUGCAGCGCGAACUGUCAGACUUGAGUACACGCAACGUAUGCGGAAUUCAUGGUGUAGCGGUGAAAUGCUUAGAUAUCAUGAAGAACUCCGAUUGCGAAGGCAGCAUACGGGAGUGUAACUGACGCUUAAGCUCGAAGGUGCGGGUAUCGAACAGGAUUAGAUACCCUGGUAGUCCGCACAGUA